Molecule: ribosomal RNA, 253 nt
Filed under: uncultured bacterium
Lineage: Bacteria
Description: partial 16S ribosomal RNA
Rfam family: Bacterial small subunit ribosomal RNA
Source: RNAcentral
UACGUAGGGUGCGAGCGUUGUCCGGAAUUAUUGGGCGUAAAGGGCUCGUAGGCGGUUUGUCGCGUCGGGAGUGAAAUCCACUGGCUUAACUGGUGGCUUGCUUUCGAUACGGGCAGACUGGAGGUAUGCAGGGGAGAAUGGAAUUCCUGGUGUAGCGGUGAAAUGCGCAGAUAUCAGGAGGAACACCGGUGGCGAAGGCGGUUCUCUGGGCCGAUACUGACGCUGAGGAGCGAAAGCGUGGGGAGCGAACAGG